This 459-nucleotide ribosomal RNA is filed under the name uncultured bacterium. RNAcentral's name for it is "partial 16S ribosomal RNA". It matches the Rfam family "Bacterial small subunit ribosomal RNA", at positions 338 to 795 of the family's 1533-position model. The record is from RNAcentral.
CCUACGGGAGGCAGCAGUGAGGAAUAUUGGUCAAUGGCCGGAAGGCUGAACCAGCCAAGUCGCGUGAGGGACGACUGCCCUAUGGGUUGUAAACCUCUUUUAUAAGGGAAGAAUAAAUGCUACGUGUAGCAUGAUGCCUGUACCUUAUGAAUAAGCAUCGGCUAACUCCGUGCCAGCAGCCGCGGUAAUACGGAGGAUGCGAGCGUUAUCCGGAUUUAUUGGGUUUAAAGGGUGCGUAGGCGGUUUUUUAAGUUAGUGGUUAAACGUCGGGGCUUCACCUUGCUUUGCCAUUAAUACUGUAAGACUCGAGUUCAGACGAAGUAGGCGGAAUAAGUUAAGUAGCGGUGAAAUGCUUAGAUAUAACUUAGAACUCCGAUAGCGAAGGCAGCUUACCGGACUGCGACUGACGCUGAAGCACGAGAGCGUGGGUAGCGAACAGGAUUAGAUACCCCUGUAGUC